Molecule: ribosomal RNA, 275 nt
Filed under: uncultured bacterium
Lineage: Bacteria
Description: partial 16S ribosomal RNA
Rfam family: Bacterial small subunit ribosomal RNA
Source: RNAcentral
CUAAGUUUGAUGGCGACCGGCGCACGGGUGAGUAACACGUAUCCAACCUGCCGAUGACUCGGGGAUAGCCUUUCGAAAGAAAGAUUAAUACCCGAUGGCAUAGUUCUUCCGCAUGGUAGAACUAUUAAAGAAUUUCGGUCAUCGAUGGGGAUGCGUUCCAUUAGGUUGUUGGCGGGGUAACGGCCCACCAAGCCUUCGAUGGAUAGGGGUUCUGAGAGGAAGGUCCCCCACAUUGGAGCUGAGACACGGUCCAAACUCCUACGGGAGGCAGCAUG